RNAcentral lists this long non-coding RNA (833 nucleotides) under Olea europaea subsp. europaea. Lineage: Eukaryota; Viridiplantae; Streptophyta; Magnoliopsida; Lamiales; Oleaceae. The record is from RNAcentral.
CCUAAAUCAUAAUGAAGAGCUAACUAUAUAUAGGGACAUCCCUUAUAGUAAAGAUGUAGUUGAAGUAGAAUGUAAGAAACAAAGUGCAAAGUGGAGUAGAGGAGGAAAAACUGCACAAGAGCCGAAACAAACUGGUUUUGUUGCGGCACCAUAGGACGUCGCAACGUUGGUGCUACGAUCCCCACUUUUAGGUCCUUUACUCCAAAAUCUUGAUUUUCUUCAUCCCAAUAUCCUCUUCAAGUCUAAUGCAAAUUCCUAUGCCCAAUGGACUCUCAACUUCAAUUAAAAUUCGCCUAGUAAAUUUGAAUAGGAUUUCAUAAUAGUAUUCCAAAUAGCAUUUUUCCUAAUGUGUACUUUAGUUAGAACUCUCAGUUAUCUUUAACAAAGAAUUCGGAUCACACCCAAAUUCUAAUAAUUGUCAUCUAUGGUAAAGCUGUGAUUGACUUACUAGUUUGUUCCUCCGGGGGUAUUUACUCAUUGGUAACAGAUAAAUUUUGCAAUACUGCCCAACAUAUUGGUAUUCUCCAGAGUAUCUUGUAAUGGUUUCUUUUGCUUUCUGAGAUUCUACCCGUUCCUUCCCUUUUCUUUUCUCCCGAACAUCGAAAGGAUUCUCUGAAUUGUUAUAUGGAACAUUUUAAGUGAUUAUGGACUUAGGAGGAAAUUAUUACCUGUCAACAUAUUCUUUUAACAGCUCUUUUGCUUGAACAAAUCAAGAUCACGAUCAAUUCUUCUCUUAUCUACAUGCAUGUAGUGAAACACAAAGCAGUCACACGAACAAAGAAAUAAGCCAGUGAGAACAUGUAUUCAGCAGUAACAAAAUACUUAUAAUCCAU